AAUCUUCAAAACCCUUUUCUUUGAUCCAUUUUGGUCGGGAAAAGGAUUUUUGGACUUGGAGGUUCAAUGCUCGCCCUUUCUUUUGAAAGCGAGCUCCUCUCAAAUGAAUCAGUGGGGUUCGCUUUGCUGAUCCUUGACGUGAUAAGAUGUUUCUACGUUUUGGGUUUAGCACUGUCCCUUGGACGCCUGCUCCUAACCGUCUCACGGACAAUGAUGGUGCUCUGGUCACCGCCGUCUACAUCGGCGGGAGGCUGGACCCACGAAAAGAAAA
Molecule: unclassified non-coding RNA, 271 nt
Filed under: uncultured Russula
Lineage: Eukaryota; Fungi; Basidiomycota; Agaricomycetes; Russulales; Russulaceae
Description: sequence contains ITS2
Source: RNAcentral